GUUAGGCAGCUCUGCGUCCGACUGCCCCGCAGCUCCGGGGAGGCAGUGACGAGGGCGGGGGACUCCGAAAAGUGGCAGAGGUGGCGGGGGGGCCGGUCUGAGAGGAGUGGCGGGAAUCCUAGCGACAGCUAUUUGUAAGUGGGUGAUGAGCCGCGGUGGGUUGUGUCCCGCGCGGUUUCACCGUCAGGGAAGACGCUCUGCGGAGGGAAGCGGGCGGCUGGGCGCCCCGGGGCGGCUGCCGCAGGGCGGGACGGGGGCUCUUGGGGCGCGGCGCCCCUCUCCCCCCACAGAGCCAGCGGCUCUCGCUUGCCCCUUCCUCCUGGCCGAGGGGCUUGGGUUGGAGGGAUCGGGACACAGCUAAAGAUUUUAGAAACAGCGCAUCAGGAUCGAGCGCCGUUUAUUGGUCGCAACAAGUGACGGCGCCCCCAGCCCCCUCGCCCCGGCGCUGCAGCGGCUUUUUCCACCCACUGUCCCUCCCGGUGCAGCGGCGGGACCUCGUCCAGCUGCCCGCCAGGGAAGCGAAAACCGUCGGUGCCGGCGGGCCCCCGAAGCUCCCGAUCCCGGCGACGACGCCCGGGCAUCGGAGGAGGAACCCGCGGCCCGGGGCGCUGUCCAGGGGGUGCCUCGGAGCCCGGAAGCUGGCUCCUUCCGGUGCCAGGCCACGCGCACCGCUCUCCGCACGCCUUCCAGAGAGGGUCCCGGGAUUAUGCGCGCGGCUCCGGGGAAGCUUUCAGGGGGUUCAGUGGUCUCGCCCAGCAGCGGGGCCUGGUGGCGGGGACACAUUCGAACUGAGGCAAAGAUGAAAAUAAGCAAACGCGCAGAAACGAAGUCACUAACACGAGUAGCCACCACCAGGAACCGAGGAGCUCGGGGGCGACGCUUCCCGAAGCGUGGGAGGGGAGGCUGGCUGCGCUCGCAGAAUGGGAGAGUAGAGGGGGAGGGGGCGGGAACCCGGGGCCCCUCACCCUGCAGGGAGACUCCGCGUGGCGUUCUCCGGAUCCCAGGGAACUGAUCCCAGGGAACCCUCACCCUGCGGGACCGUCGUGGGUUGCUUUCGGAAGCAGGACAACCGGCAGGCGGAGGGCGGGGAGAGUCACCACCUCCCUGGGCCAGGGUUCACACCUUUGCACCACAGGACUUGUGAACUGUGUGUUUCCUAUAUGACUAAGAGAAAAAGGGAAUUCUAAUUUUGGAGAGGGAGUAAGGCUUCGGUAACUCUUUGUUCUGAAUUCAGUUCCCUGGAAAGUAACUCGCGCGGACCUGUAGUUAAAUCAGCAGCAGCCAAGGGUUUCGCUCAGCCGAGGUAACCGUUAAGCGCCAGACAGUUUGGUUUUCAGGCGAUUUGAAAUUUGUGGCCUUGGCCAGGGUUUGGCUAUAAGGGAAAGGUUCGAGAUCGCUGCGCUCCAGCACCCCUUUCGUUCACCACCAGCAGUUUAUUUCUCUUAGCCCCGGGAAUCGUAACCUCCUAACCUUUUAGCGCUGCAUCACGUUGCCUUAAUAGACAGGAUCCAUUUCUCUCGUGGUUCUUCUGUUUUCUGCCUCUUACUUCCACCUCUGUGCUGAACGCGACACUUCAGCCAAAGUGCUGAAGUCGUGAUUUACCGCAACAGAGGAAGAAAAAAAAAUUACAGCAGGGAUCAGCAGCAUCACAGCAGCCCUUCAUUUGGGCCAGCAUUUGGGGCUCUGGAUGCUCACUUUGGUGAGCUCUAGAGAGCUCGGGGUCAACCAGUCCACCAGCUUAUGUGCCCGGUGCCUAGGAGGGCCACGUCCCUGCUCCCGACAGGUGGGCACUCAAAAAAAGUUUGUGAAUGGCCCAGGGUGCCAACUUUCCAGGAAUAGCUGGAAAGCAUUAUACUGAAACACGUGCUUCCGGUUCUCUGGGGAGCCCUUGGUUUUUGUUGCUAAAACUUGUGGUUACACACUAUUGGCUGUUUAAGUGACUCUGUUUUUGUAGAGUUAAUGUUAUUUAGGAAAUAAUGAAGUCUGAAGCACCAGUUCAAAUUAUGUGUAUGUGUGUGGUAUAGUCAAAAUAUAUUGAUUCAAAACUCUGAAAAUUAACUUUUUACAGAUAUCAGCAAAUAACAGAUUUCUGCUUCUAGAGACUAUCCCAAUAAAAGCAUGGCUGCUUUAAGCCAUCCUAAGUGCAUAUUAUUAAUAUAAAGAAGUGGCUGCACAAACCUACUUUUGGAAUGAUUCAUUUCUGCCCGCAAUUAUAAUUGCAUCCAUUUGUGAUACUAACAUUAGGUAAAAGAUUUGGGGCUGAUUCAGCUAUCUUACUCUUCUCAUUUAUGCAAGACAAUUUAGCUUAAUAUUUGAAACCUACAGAGGCAUAAAACCGCACAUUUUCUCCACUUUGUUGCAUGCAAUUCUUUUGGAAAGAAAAAAACCUUAACCCCCAUCUCCCACAAAACCAGAUACUAGAUGAGCUCCUUUUAAAAAUUGUGAAAAAUUAAGAAUACCAUGUUUAGCGAGGUUAAAUGAUCUAGAUGAAUAAAAAUGUAGAUCUAAAGGUUAAAUAGCUAUUUGACCUAUUGGUAUCAGGGUACCAAGGGUCUAGACUCAAGCACAUCACCUUUGGAGCUACUUAAUAAAUAUUAAUGACAUUAAAUAAAUCCUUUAGUUUAUCCAUUCAUUCAACAAACAUAUAGUACAAGUAUUUUGUGCUAAGUAUUCUGUUAGCCACAGAGGACUUAAAGAUGAACACAGCGCCUUCAUCCUUAGCAACAGUGGGAUUGUGUGGCAGAAAAGGGGGGAGCGCCAGGAGGGCAAGUACAUCAGCUUGACAGCAGUAGCAGACAAAGCUUCCUGGAGAAGGAAUUACAGUGUCUUUGAAAACUUACUUCAUUAUUUCUAAUUAUAAAAGUAACACAGGCUCAUUGUGGUACAUAAAAGAAAAACAAAUUUAUAAUUAAGUAAACGCGCUCUCUUCAGUGUUCACCAUCCCCAACCUUACUACACAGAGCUUGCUGUGUUCAGUGUGGAAACUUUCAGUCUUUUUUGUAUGUAUGUUUAUACACACGCAAACUCCUCCUUUAAAAAAAUAACAAAACUAGGAUAUCAUAUAUAUUUGUCUAUAAUUUCCUACUUUAAAAAGCGUAUUAUGGUAAUUAGCCUUCUAGAUAGUCUCCAGUGAUACCCGCUUCCUGGUAUUCACACCCUUAUGUUAACUCCUCCCACGCUGUACCAGGGUUGGUCUGUGUAGCUAACAGAACCUGGCAGAAGUGAUGACGGUCACUCCUGACUUUAGGUUAUACUGAGACUUCCAUCUUGUAUGUCCUUUUUUCUCUUGUAUCAUUGAGUCUGGGGAAGCCGAAUGCCACAUUGUAGGGACAUUCUGCCUAUGGAAAAUCCCAUGUGGUUGAGUAAUUGAGGCCUGAUAACCAUGUGAAUAGCUGUGAUGUCAUGAGAAAACCUGAGCUCAAACAACUCAGUUGUUUCUGGAUUCCUGACCAUAGAAACUGUGAGA
Molecule: long non-coding RNA, 3466 nt
Filed under: Homo sapiens (human)
Lineage: Eukaryota; Metazoa; Chordata; Mammalia; Primates; Hominidae
Description: non-protein coding lnc-IL20RA-3:1
Source: RNAcentral